Molecule: ribosomal RNA, 468 nt
Filed under: uncultured bacterium
Lineage: Bacteria
Description: partial 16S ribosomal RNA
Rfam family: Bacterial small subunit ribosomal RNA
Source: RNAcentral
GACGAACGCUGGCGGUGUGCUUAACACGUGCAAGUCGAACGGUAAGGCCCUUUCUGGGGUUCACGAGUGGCGCACGGGUGAGUAACACGCGAGUAACCUUCCCUCAUCUCUGGGAUAACCGUCGGAAACGGUUGCUAAAUCUGGCUUUGAUCUUGCAAGGCAUCUUGGGGGUUGGUAAGAUUUUUUGUGGUUGGGGAUGGACUCGCGGCCUAUCAGCUUGUUGGUGGGGUAGUGGCUCACCAAGGCUUCGACGGGUAGCCGGCCUGAGAGGGCGAACGGACACAUUGGGACUCAGAUACGGGCCAAACUCCUGAGGGAGGCAGCAGGGGGGAAUAUUGGACAAUGGAAGGAAGUCUGAGGCAGCAACGCCGCGUGCGGGAUGACGGCCUUCGGGUUGUAAAAAGCUUUCAAUUGUGACGAAGCGUUUUUGUGACGGUAGCAGUAGAAGAAGCACCGGCUAACUACGUG